RNAcentral lists this ribosomal RNA (457 nucleotides) under uncultured bacterium. Its description in RNAcentral is "bacterial SSU rRNA". It matches the Rfam family "Bacterial small subunit ribosomal RNA", at positions 340 to 786 of the family's 1533-position model. The record is from RNAcentral.
UACGGAGGCAGCAGGGGGAAUAUUGCACAAUGGGCGAAAGCCUGAUGCAGCUAUGCCGCGUGUAUGAAGAAGGCCUUAGGGUUGUAAAGUACUUUCAUCGGGGAGGAAAAAACAAAACUAAUAAUUUUAUUUCUUGACGUUACCCGAAAAAGAAGCACCGGCUAACUCCGUGCCAGCAGCCGCGGUAAUACGGAGGGUGCUAGCGUUAAUCAGAAUUACUGGGCGUAAAGAGCACGUAGGUGGUUUUUUAAAGUUCAGAUGUGAAAUCCCUGGGCUUUAACCUAGGAACUGCAUUUUGAAACUGAAAUACUAGAGUAUCGUAGAGGGAGGUAGAAUUCUAGGUGUAGCGGUGAAAUGCGUAGAUAUCUGGAGGAAUACCUGUGGCGAAAGCGGCCUCCUAAACGAAUACUGACACUGAGGGUGCGAAAGCGUGGGGAGCAAACAGGGAUUAGAUACC